RNAcentral lists this unclassified non-coding RNA (244 nucleotides) under Hevea brasiliensis (rubber tree). Lineage: Eukaryota; Viridiplantae; Streptophyta; Magnoliopsida; Malpighiales; Euphorbiaceae. The record is from RNAcentral.
AAAAUUCAAAAAAUUAAAAAUAUGCAAUAUUUGAAAAGCUAGCAAACUAAACCCAUCAAAAAUAACAGACGCAAAAAACAAGCAUAUUAUUUUCUCACCACCAGAUUAAACUAAAUGCAAAGACCAAUAUUUAGAACAACAAAAUCAAACCCAAAAAUUAAAAAAUAAAAACAUUAAAAUAUAAAAAUUAAACUCCUGCUUGAUUCUCAACGAAAAAGAAAAUUUUCAUAAAACCCAUCAAAAU